RNAcentral lists this ribosomal RNA (468 nucleotides) under uncultured bacterium. RNAcentral describes it as "partial 16S ribosomal RNA". It matches the Rfam family "Bacterial small subunit ribosomal RNA", at positions 28 to 507 of the family's 1533-position model. The record is from RNAcentral.
GACGAACGCUGGCGGCGUGCUUAACACAUGCAAGUCGAACGGAAAGGCCCUGCUUUUGUGGGGUGCUCGAGUGGCGAACGGGUGAGUAACACGUGAGUAACCUGCCCUUGACUUUGGGAUAACUUCAGGAAACUGGGGCUAAUACCGGAUAGGAGCUCCUGCUGCAGGGUGGUGGUUGGAAAGUUUCGGCGGUUGGGGAUGGACGCGCGGCUUAUCAGCUUGUUGGUGGGGUAGUUGCUUACCAAGGCUUUGACGGGUAGCCGGCCUGGGAGGGUGAACGGCCACAUUGGGACUGAGAUACGGCCCAGACUGCUACGGGAGGCAGCAGUGGGGAAUAUUGCACAAUGGGCGGAAGCCUGAUGCAGCAACGCCGCGUGCGGGAUGACGGCCUUCGGGUUGUAAACCGCUUUCGCCUGUGACGAAGCGUGAGUGACGGUAAUGGGUAAAGAAGCACCGGCUAACUACGUG